UGAAAAGAGAUCCCUUGCAAUAAAACCUUGAACAAGAUUUAUGCUUUUCAACAAAAAGUGCAAGCUUUGAACAAAAAGGUGUGAUGUUUUUGACAAGUAACCUAUCUAAUUGUGGCUUGAGAGAGAGAGAGGUGCCUUUGUUCUUUGAAAACUUCGGAGAGGGAGAGGAGAGGAGAGGAGAGGAGGAGGAGGAGGAAGAAGAAAGAAAUGGGUAUUUAGAAAAGGAAAAAGGGUAGGUGGGGUCUUUCUGAUUAGGAUUUUACUCUUAUCCACAUUUUAUUUUCCCCUUUAUAAUUUGGAUAAAUGACACUGAAUUUUAGCUCUGUCUUGAAUGUUGACGUGUAUAUCCUCUUACCGGAAUUAAAGAUUGAUUUGUGUUAUAUUUUGGGGUUUUUUUCCUUCUUUCUUUGUAAUUUUGGGUUGAGUUUUGGAAUUUGAGCUGGCCAUGUUUUAAACAAUUUGCUAUAUUAUUACCGGUAAAUGUUUCUGUUGUGUAUUUUCAAUGGAAUAUUCCCCGUGAAAUUAUGAAAAGCGGAUAAAACGCGUAGCUGACUGUGUCUGCCUCUUCGAAUUUUGGAUAAGAUGACGAAUCCUUUAUCUCUUUUUACACUGCACGGAAAGAGUAAAAUCGCUCUUGUUUAUUUGACUUUUUCUUUUUUCCAAAUGCUAUUUUGGUAAAUAAAAGUCUUAUAUAUAUAUAUAUAUAAUUUCAAGUAUUUUCUGAUGAAAAUUUUCGUUUUUAUAAAGAGUUUUGAGAGAAAUAGGAUUUAUGUAUAGUUUUCUUAAUACAGGAUUUAUAUAUAGUUAAACAACAGGUAAAAGUCCUAAUUACAAGAAGCAAACCAUGCAAGGGGGAUGAAUUUUACUAUUAUAAGGAAAGCUAUUACCAAGAGCGCCAAAGCUGCUUUGUUUUUUUCUUCUCUCCUAUCAAUCUCACCUUAAUAAACAAAUAACCAUGAGAUGCUCUGUGCUAAGUGCCCUGAUUAGGCCUUAACAAAUGACAAUUCGCAGCAUCUAACAUCCACAUGGUCAUUAAAAUAUUACACACAAAAAAAAAACACAUCCACGGCAAACACACUAUGGACAUGAGAAUUUCAAACGCAGAAGAUAUUUUUCCCAUUAAUAAUCAUGAGUGAUGAGUCAUGGUACAAGGAACCUAAUCCAAAACAAAACAAAAAAAAAAAAAAAUAGAAUCCAAGUUCAAGUAGAUCCAAAACUCUGCACUUCACUCAAUGGAAGUCUCUUAGAACGUAAGUCAGUUGUUUUUUUUUUAAUCUUUGUUUUGGUGAAAUAAGCCAGUUGUUGGAUGAAGAGACUAUUGAUUUUAAAUUGGAUUGAAAGAGAACAGAAAUAAAGUACAUAAUGGACUCAAAUUCAUCUUCCAUCAUCUAAUGGAUAAAUAUUAUAAGAUUGCAAAAACAACUUGAGAUUCCAAAAUUAGUGCGCUUCAUGUUAAUAUGUGGUGCAUUUGAUAAAUCAGAAAUGCCACCGAAAGCAGUUAUAGAUUAAGAGAUAAUAUGUCCGUCCCUUUGCAUCCGUAUUCGAAUUCUUCUGCUCAUAAAUUAGAGUAGUUUAUGAAAUGCCACCGAGCAGCAAUAAAUGUAGCUUAUAUCUAAAUGUAUAGGACCAAAACCACCCACAUUCAUUUUAUGAUUUAAUAUUAUGGAAGCGUUAUGCAUGCAAGUGCGCCUUUUCUCUGGAUGAAAUGGCAUGACAGUGAGAGCACCUGGGCUUCUAUUCUAGAUGAUGGAUAAUGAUAAAGCUUGGUUACAUGUGCAUGGUAUCUGUAUAUUAGCACACAGAUUUUGGACCAAUUUUUCUGGUCCUUAAAGAAGGCCCAUAGGUUUGGAUUUUGGAACACUGGUUUGCCACAAAACCAAGGCGGAGGUAUCUUCCAGAACAAGUCCAUGAGUUUCGGAACAGCUUUCCUUGUGUCUCUUUUGGUCUACCUAACAAAGAAAUAAGAGCCACAACAAUGCAAUCAUGCAGCAUUGUUCUCCAUAACCUCAAUAAUCAUUCAAUUUACCAACUUGUCUCUUUUUCUUUUUUUUCCCUUCUUUUGUUAGUUUGUUGCAGAACUAACUGCAAAUAUAAAAAACAAAAGAUUAAAAAGAUUAAUUCAAACAUUCAAAGGUUUGAAUUAAUAUGUAGUAUAUAUAUAUGCAAAUUACAACAACGUCUGGAUGUUUGAAGGGGUGGAAGAACAGUGAAAGAAUAUUAAACAAUCAUUUCACUUGACAAGCUCCUCCUCCUUACCAGCCUCUUCCAACUCUCUCAAGCUUCCAACCUUCUGCUCUAUCUCCUCAAUCAGCUCCUCCCUCCACAACUCUGCUCUUGCAGAUUCUUCAAUGUCUGCUUGCUGCAUCACCAACCAUUAAUUAUACCUCAAUCAGAUUUUUAAGUUGCUGGCCAACUACAAUUGAUAUAGGAGGAGGUUUCUAUACAUAUGGAGAUACUGUUUGAAGUUACAUAUAAAGUGGGACCCAGAAGUGCAUGGAAAAUAAUGAACUUAAUUAAGUACCUUCUCAUAAAUCCAAUGUCCAGUACCAUCACCUCCAUCUUUUCUGUACGUUUCUGAAUCAUAGUAUGGAUCCUGAAACAUUCUCCAACAUUUCAGAAUGCUCUCUAAACUAAGCUAAUGAAAAUAUUACAAUUAAUGUAAUAAACUAAAAACAAUGUUAUGUCUCGUUUACAUUUCUUAAUGAUUCAUUUGUUUUAUUAAUCUAAAAAAUUCCUGGUAGAAGAAGAUAUUUUGCUAACGAAAAAGCUUUCAAUGCUGCCCGAUAUCAUACAAAUUCACAAAAACUACAAGUGUCCACAGAAAAGAAUGAAGUGAGACUAAAUGUAGCUACUUAUACCUUCAUGGAACCAAAGAAUAAGCAUCCCCAACAAGUGAACAUGAUGUAAAAAGUAUCUACAAAUAGGAAAGGGAGGGGUCAAACAAAAAAUCUGUCACAAUUUUCAUGCACCCUAAUCCAUCACAGAGUACAUAGAAAAACUAAUCCAAAAAAAAAACCUUAGGAAAGGUGUACUUACAGACGUUCUUUAUGGAUUCAUCACUGAGAUGCACAAUAGAUUUGUGGGUUAUAAGGUCUCUUUGGCCUUCUAUGUGUUCAACUAGAACUGCCAUCAAAGGCCAAUCUGGGAAGGCAUUUGUUUUGCAUAAAGAGGCUCUUUUGCUAUUCUUCCCAACUACAAGCUAUUGAACAAAAUAUAAGACAUGAAGUUAAUGCAGUAAAUGGUUUAACAUAUUCAUGAUUCUGUUUUUUGCUAAUCAAGAAACCAAUAAAGGAAGAGAGAUUCACAAACUGCUUAAUUACCUGCUUGGCCCCACUGAAAAGUUCAGAGCUUGAAGACUGCCUAAGCUGAAAAAGAAGGGCACUCUAAGCAUUUCCAUGUACCAUUUUAAACAUAACAAGAAAAGCAGCAAAAAAAAGUCAUUAACAAGGGAAGGUUGAAUUUUUACCAAUCUGGUACAUGAGCUCGUGUGAGUCAUGUCCAAUUUAGCUGUUUGGAGAGAGGAGCUGUGAAUAUGUGGACUGAUAAUGGUGAAGCCCAUGAUAGCUUCUGCCAUUGUCUCCAAUGAGUUGAAAAAAAAUGCAGUUGUAAAUUGAAGUGUGAGAAUUUAGGCUGCAGUUUUUGUUUUGUUUUUCGUUGGAUUGGAGGGAAAGUGGAUAAGAGAAUCAUUUGCGUCCACCCUUCUAUCACCCUAUGAAACAUUUAAAAUCUAAUACUACAAAUAUAAUAUUUAGAGAAAGUUUACCAACUGGCCUAUUAGCUCAGCUGGUUAGAGCGUCGUGCUAAUAACGCGAAGGUCGCAGGUUCGAGACCUGCAUGGGCCAUUUUUUUAAUCUUUAUCCUUUUUUUAAUCCUUUUUGUUUUUGUUUUUUUAAAUAUAAAAUUUUUAAUGUUCAACUUUAAAGAAAAGAAACCAAUAGCCAACAUAAUAAUCAAUCACAAUCAAGGUAAGUUCAGAGCUUUCGAUGUGCUAUUAGGCUCUUGUUUUCUACGAAUUCUGUCUACUUCUUCGUCCUCUUAUACACACUUUGUUUUAUUUUCCUUAUCUCUUUUUCUCGGAAAAUCUGUCUUCUUUCCAAGAAAUUUUAUGGGGAGGACUGGGUUGUUUGAUCUUGAAAGGCACUUCGCCUUCUACGGCGCAUACCACAGCAACCCAGUUAACAUUUUGAUACACACUGUGUUUGUGUGGCCGAUAUUGUUCACCUCUCUGGUUCUUUUGUACUUCACACCUUCUCUGUACACUUUCCCAGCUGGGCUCAGUCAUGGUUUUCUGUUGAAUUUUGGGUUUGUUUUCACUGUGAUCUAUGCCUUGUUUUACGUCUGCUUGGAUAAGAAAGCUGGGUCUUUGGCUGCUUUGCUCUGUGUUCUCUGUUGGGUUGGAGCCAGUUUGCUUGCUGCUCGCCUUGGAUUUUCUUUGGCAUGGAAGGUAAGCUUCUCUGUUUUAGCUUAUGUCUUUUUUGUUGAUGAUAUCAUUUUGUGGGAAACCACAAAGAUAACAAAUUGGAGAUAAUUUUAAAUUUCAGUAUUUCCUGAUUGUAAUUCUAAGCAUCAAAAUGGCACUUGGAUGGUUAAGUUUCCUCUCUUGUUGCUUAAGUUUACUUAGGGUUAGGAAUUCUGAUUAGAUGAAUUUGAGGAACCACACGGCACUUGGAUGAACUCUGCCCAAAGAUUGAAACUUUAAAUUAGAAAUUUGGGCAAUAGCAUUUUCCAAUUGGUAUUGCAGGUCUUUUGAGGUUGAAACACCAAUUACAGGGUCUUUGCAAUUUAUAAGUUGAGCUAUUGAUUCGUUUUGCCAUUCAUCAGUUGAACAACUGUUCAUCUGUCUAUCCAUGCGCAGAAAUUUACAAUGCAUUCUAAGAGUUAUAUGUUGAAAACUGAAAUCCUAAUUGUUUGAUGAAAUACUUAUUCAGGUUGUACUGGCUGCUCAGUUGUUCUGUUGGACUGGACAGUUCAUAGGCCAUGGGGUGUUUGAGGUGACUAAUUUUGGGCCUUUGAAACUUUAUGCCUUGUUCCCAUGUUCCUAACGUAGUAUACAUUUCCCUGUAAUAUUUUCAUUAGUGAAAAUGAGCGGAAUUUAUAUAUAUAUAUAUAUAUCUCAUGAUAAUUUUUCGUUUUAGAAACGAGCACCAGCUCUUUUGGACAACCUCGUUCAAGCAUUUCUAAUGGCGCCUUUCUUCGUGCUGCUUGAGGUACGUCCUUAAAUCCCAUCUAGAUUGGAGAUGGCUUCUCUAUGUGAUGAUGAGUGAGUCUUGUUUCUGUUUCAUCGUGCAGGUUCUUCAAACAGCGUUCGGCUAUGAACCUUAUCCCGGGUUUCAUGCAAGUGUGAAAGAAAAGAUAGACGCCAACCUCAAAGAGUGGUGCGAGAAGAAACAGAAGAAAAUCUCUUAGUGUAGAUCAGCCACAUGAGACUGUACUAGUGUAGUUUAGCCUCCAGCAAAGAAUGAGAUGAAUGUACUGGUCUGUAUCCAUAUCUAUCAAGUACACAAACUUUAGAUGGAAAUCUAUAAAUAAAAUUUCCCGACUUGAGCCGGAACUGAGCAAUAUAGUUAUCCAUUUGAAAUGAUCUCUGAGCUCUAAAUUGCCCAAGUAAGCCUCCCAAGUAGCAGUAUAUUACACAGGCGACAACUUUCAACUAUAGUAAUUGCUGUAUCUAUUUCUUCAUAACGGGCUUCAGUUGAGUCCAUUUCAAACCUCAUAUCAUAUGAGAAUAUGCUCCAACCAGGCUAUUACCAGGCUCUGGUUUUUGAACUCCCCUGUCCUUCAUUGAUUUCCUCACACUCAUAACUUCGUUCCAUCGGCCCACGCUUGCAUACAUGUUAGCCAGAAGAACAUAGUCGCUGCUUUGACCUUGAUCUGGUUCCAGCUCCAAAAGAUGGCUCCUCACCUUUUCCCCAAGCUCAACGUCACCGUGCACCUGACAUGCUGCCAACAAUGCCCUCCAUACAAUGGCAUUACACUCCAUUGGCAUGCUCCUGAUUAAAUUGUAGGCCUCCUCCACAUACCCAGCUCGCCCCAACAUAUCAACCAUGCAUCCAUAGUGCUUCAUUGUUGGUUGAAUAUGAUACUCUUUGCUCAUAACAUCAAAAUAUCUUCUUCCUUCAUCAACCAUCCCUCCAUGACUACAAGCACACAAAACUCCCAAGAAAGUAACACCAUCUGGUAUCUCAAGCUUUUCCUCCAACAUUUUCGAGAACAAUUCCAAAGCAUCGUCCUCAUGGCCAUGCGUUGCAAGCCCCAGAAUUAUCGUGUUCCAUGACACUAUGUUCUUCCCUUCCAUCUUACUGAAUGUCUCAUAUGCUUCUUCAAAAGCUCCACACUUUGCAUACAUGUCGAUGAGCGAAUUAGACACCGUCACAAUAUCGCCAAGAUUCACUUGAUCAAUACAAGAAUGAACCCACCUCCCAAAAUCUAAUGCCCCCAGUGUAGAACAUGCCGAGAGGGUCACAACCACGGUGGCCUCAUCAGGCUCUACGCCGCUCUGUAGCAGUCGUAAGAACAAGUCAAGUGCUUCCUUGCACUUUCCACAAUUGACAUGACUAUCAAUGAUAGUGUUCCAAGCCACUAAAUCUGGACUAGGUAUUUCUUCAAACAGUUUGGUUGCAGUUUGGUCAUCCCGCAACACACCGUAGAUAUGAAUAAGAGUGUUCCUUACAAACACAUGAGACUCUAGCCCAAGUUUCAGAGUGGCACAAUGCAUCUGUUUGCCCAACAAAUAUGAACCCAAUUGCCCACAAGCUUUGAGCAAGAAGGAGAGUGUGAAAUUGUCAGCCACCUCUCCUUUCUCUUGCAUUCUCUUAUAAAACUCAAAUGCCUUUUCAGGCUUCCUGGUUUUUCCAAACCCCCUAAUCAUAGUAUUCCAUAGAAACCCAUCUGGGUUUUCAAUGCUGCUGAAAACCGAGGCCGCAUAGUUCAUGUCUCCACGCUCCGAAACCGCGCAAAAAGAUAUGAUCUUUCCAAGAACAAAGGGGUUUUGAUCGACCCCAUUACGGAUGAUAUGGCCAUGGGUUUGCUUUACCUCUUUCAUGGUGGUGCACUGCUUGAAAAAGGACAUAACCUUGUGCACCUUUUGAAAUAUGGCGUCACGCAUUUUAUGUUUUGGUUGGGGCCUCUGUAUUCUCGGGGCUUCAACUUGUAAUGGGCAAUUUUCACUUUCCCCUUUUCGGGCUCCUCUGAAAAUUGUCUCAGCCGAGAAAGGAAAAAAAUGAAGAGAGAAAAGUCUUUUGGGUGUGUGUCUUACGCAAGUGGUUUACCUUUUCUUUGUUUGUUUGGGUGAAUUCUUUUGGUUUGGACUCAAAAAGAAAGUAUAGUUUUGCCAAAUGUAAAUUUCAACCUGCAAUGUGGUUGCCUUUAUAUUUGAAAACAAUAAGUAGGUUUUGCCUUUAUACUUAACCAAUGCCAAAUGAGUUUAUUUGGUGGCACAAACAGGAUUUGCUCGUGUGUGUUGUUGGGCCAAAGCCGAAAGACAAAAGAAAGCAACUCAUCUAGAUUAAUGCUUGCGGUUUUCCUGAAAAUUACAAGGACAACAUUGUUCUUGAUGCUCACAAUAGAAGGGUUAAGUUUUUGAAAUUAAGGGUAAGGUUAACUUGUACAGAACAAAAUAGAUUACACAUGUUCUCUUCAAUGUAGUACCUCCAAGCAACACAGAUGCAAAUUUGGAAUUUGCUGGAAAUAAACAAUUUCUAAGAUUUUUUUUAAAAAGGAUUAAAUAGUAACAACCAUAAUUUCAGCUUGUCCAUGGCAUUAGAUAAAUUUGGACACAUAGUUCAUCAAAUAAUCUCACAACGAUUCAUUCAUUUAGGUGAUAGUACAGAAGGGAAGCUUCCUCUUCUCUGUCUGCACAAGUCACUGAGCCUACAACUUUCUUUUUGGUAAUUACAACUCCACAAGUCCUUGCUUGUAAUAACCUACCUCAUCAAAAUAUUCACAAAACCUCUCAUUCUGCGGCCUACGACAAUGUUCAUGUGUGAUCUAAGAUUUAUAUUUGUUAUCUGAAAAAAAGACUUGUUAUUAAGAUUUAUAUUUGUUAUCUUCAUGGUGUAGGCUUGCUAAUGCUCUAAGUCGGUUUUCAUCCCACAUGAACCAAAGCUUUUUCACAUGAUCAACGUCAAAGUGGUUUAGUACCAACAACUCAGACACUGAGAGGAAAGCCUUUACGGCCAUUUCAAAUUUUGAAAGAGUCUUGUUGAAGGCUUCGAGAGCUUUAUGGAAAGCUGAUUCAGCUUCACGGGACUCUCAACUUCCUCACGUUUUAGUACUAGUUUUUGGUGGGCUUCCAACGUGUUAGUUUUUAGUACUAAUUAUGUCUCCGGAUCAUAACAUAAUUAUACAAAUCAAUGUUUUGAAACGCAUGCCUAAGCGAAGAAUGCAACCACAUGGUUGCUGUACACAUGGAUUUGAAAAUGGAUAAAAACUCAUUCCAAAAUUGUAAUAUGACAAACCAACAAACGAGAGGUUCUUGGUUAAACUAGAAACCAAUUUCAACUCUAAUAUUACUUGGGGUGUCAUGAUCUCAUCUCAUCUUAUUAGGAACAAUAUGAUCAUGCAUAUUUUGCCUCUAGCUAGUGUGUGUACUUUAGCAAGACAGCUCAUGCUCCAAGCUUCACAGUUCAAAGAUGGCGAUUAAGAUUGCUCAUCACAAGCUUCAUCCUUAAGCCAUAAGAACAGUCCUCCUCCAAGUCAGAGGAUUAAUUCUCCUAGUCAAACAAUGCGAUGGGUAGAUUACCAAGUCAAGAUUUUAUGUUUGAUUUAUAAAACCUUCAAUUGAGUCAUUAAUUUAUUGCAUUAUUUUCCGCAAUAGUUUUAAAAUUUGAUACUCUCUGACUGCUCUGAUGAGUCUGGCCUUGAAACCCUCCUGUAUCAAAGCCGUCAUAUAUAUAUAUAUAUAUAGAACUUCACUUGAGGAGUUGUAAGCCUUGCGUGAAAAGAUAUGAGAUGUUGGUCUCAAACCUAUCGCAAAUUAGUUUUGGGUUGGGAUGCCCUAUAACUUGUACAUUUCUAUAUUCCAUUAAAUUGUAGGAGUCAUGAUUCAUGACCAUGAAUAAAAUAAUGGCCUUUUUUUGUUUGUGGCAAACACAUGAUUUCAGAUGCGUUCUAUAUAUUAAAUUGUAGGAGUUAUGAUUCAUGACCAUACGUGUAGAAAUCCAGCAAAUUGACUACAUAGUAUAUGCUUGUUUUUAAUCACUAGUAAAAGCCAUGUUUUACCUAUUAACUACAAUCCAAAAUAAUAUCACAGAUAUUACAAAUUCCAAUCAAUUUUAACCCAAAAUCAUAUAAAGAAACGAUUAAUCUGAUAAACUAAAAUGAUACACAAUUAAUGAAGCGAAAAAAACACUCAAAAUGAAUUGUGCUCUUUUAACCAUAAAUAUACAAUUAACGAAUGCGGUGAGUAUUCUAAAUGCAUAUGACAGGCCAAAAAUAUGACAAAUAGUAGGGGUUAGAUUGCAUAAUCUGACAAGACCCAUCCCGGAAUUUCUCGGAAUUCGGAGCAGAUCCGGUCUUGUUACCCACAUCACCCUGAUGCGGGGCCCACUUACUAAAAACCGAGACUCUACCAAAAUUUUGGCAGAGUCUCCCCUGUAAAUUGAGCAAACCUAACAAAAUUCAACCUGCAUAAAAUACAUAAUACAAUCACAACCAGCAACAUGCUUCCAACAUACAACAAAACAUACUAAAUGGCUUCCGGCCUCACAAGUAAAAUCUAACAUGGACAAUAACAAAGCAUCUACUGAAUUUAGUUUACAAGAGCAGUUGAGUAAAAGGAAAUUACUCGAAGCCUAAUCUACUGAUGUAAACGAUUCAGCCUUUGAACACCGCUUGCAACCUUCCUGGAGCGACUACUGGCUGGGAGGCGCAAAACAAAAAACAUGUGAGUGGACAAAAACAAGAUUUGCAUUUAAAAUAACAUAAUAACCCCGCCGUGUAAAAGUAAUGCUCAAGACAUGCAGGUUCACAAUUCAUAAUUAAAUGCUCAAAAACAUAUUUCAUUGAAAACUCUUUAACCACAAAUCACUCCAUUCAUAAACCUCAUGCCCACAAUUUUACUGCUCCUACCAACCCACUGUAUGGACUCUAAUUUCUUCACACUCACAACUAUAUAUACAUAGAUAUAAAUAUAUAAAUAUAACUAUACAACAUACUCAUCACACUACCUAGGUACCGGGGAAACAAUCCAACCGGGGGAUCGUUUGACUAGCCCGCAGGAUUUCCAGGUUGUAUCCUGCGUUUAGGGAUGAGCGGUCCAACCGGGGAACGAAACUCCAUAGCUCACACACCGGAACAUCCAACGCCAUGUGUAGCUCCAAUACUAAGUCCUACGUGCGCAGACUAUAUCAUCACACACCGGAACAUCCAACGCCAUGUGUGAUGAUGCCAAGCAAUAUACAUAAUCUUCCCAAACCCCGAAAAUUCCAACACCAUGUAUGGGAAGUGUCUCAUAAGCCGGAACAUUCAACGCCGCGUGUGGGAAGCCUAGUAACUGAGGAAGGUACUUACAUAGUGUAAUCAUACAACUUCUCUCAACAACCCCUUAUACUCAAGUCCUUCCACAAACUCACCUCAACAACUCAAGUACCCCACCUAUAGACAAUAUAUAUAGAACUUCCCCAAAAUCCAUACAAACAUACUCACGGUGUAAGAUACACUGACAUACGAAGGAGUGUGUGGCCCCCGGAUUAAUUAGAACACGUGCAAGAUAACCAAAGAUCGAAAUCAUGCCAGUAAUCACGUCCGGGGUGGCAUGUGCUUCCUGCUGGGUCAUUGAAGACACUCUGGCCUGAGUAGUAGAACGCUCAUGCUGACCCUUUGAUUGCCUGCCACUCCUGCCCCUAGAAGAUGACAGUGUCCUGCUACUUGAUGACCCUGCUGCAGAGGAAGAAGCACUACUUUGACUCUGAUUCUGGCCCACACUACCCUGCCCUUACUAGGCCUCAGUCCCCUGGACUACUGCAUCACUCUGGAGUAUAAUUAGGCAGCUUCUCUUGGUAUGUCCCACUUGCCCACAAAAGUAGCAUGUCAGGCUACUACUCUGACUUUGUCCACCUCCCUGAGUAUAGCCAGGACAAUCCUUCGCAAAAUGCCCGAUUUGCCCACAAUUGUAACACAUCAAACCUAUCUGCCGGGAAGGAGUCCUGGCUGUGCUGGCUGUAGACUGCUGUCUAGAAUACUGAGUCCAUGCUGAACGAGAAUCAGAUCUCCUACUACUAGAACUAGAUCCUCGUCCUCCUGACCAUCCGCCGCUAGCAGAACUGGAGCUAGAUCCUCCUCUCUUUGAUAGACCCUGACUUGGCCCACCAAACCCUGAUGUAUCUCUGCGGUGCCUGCCCGCACUCCCACUGAAUUUCCUCGCCACCCUUUCAGCUACCUGAGCCAAAGCCCUCAUGUUUGGGUAAGUGUUCGCAGUAACCACUGCCUGAAUCUCCCACCAUAACCCUUCCUCAAACCGUCUACAUAUGUCCUCCUCAGUGGCCACCAGCUCUGGAGCAAAUCUAGACAGCUCAUUAAACUUGUGUUCAUACUCCACCAUCGACAUAGACCCCUAUUUCAGAUAUAGGAACUUUGACUUCUUUGCAUUUGUGUAGGAAGGUGGGUAAAAUUGCUCUGAGAAGACCCUCUAAAAUUCCUCCCAGUUUAUGACAGCCGGAUUCUCAUAACCUCUUUUCACAGCUUUCCACCAGUGGUAUGCAUUUCCUUUCAGCAGAAAAGUAGCCAAGCGGACUCUAUCCCCAACUGGGCACUCUAGAACCUCAAAAAUUCUCCCCACAUCUGUAAUCAAUGACUCGGCUUCUGCUGGGUCUGUGCUACCCAUGAACUCUCUUGCUCCAAGUUCCUUAACCCUUUUAAUUUCAGAACUUUCUGUACCACACCUUCCCCGCAAAGCUGUAGCCAUGGUGCGGGUAAACUAGCUAAGUACAUGCCUCAAAUCCAACGCAUUAUCUCCGGCAGGUGGAGAUGGUGGAGGCGAAGGCACUGGUGGUGACAGAGGUGGUGACGGAGAUGGAGGUGGCAGAUUUGGCCCUCAUCUUUGACCAUGACCUCUUGUUCUAACUCUGCGAGCUGACAUGGUUCUACACAAAGAAACCAUAAAAUCAUUAGAUCAACAAUGCAACAAAAGUGCAAAAGUCGAAGGAAAAUGAACCUAAUGCUAUGAUACCAAGCUGACAAGACCCGCUCCGGAAUUUCCCAGAACCCGGAGCGGACCCCAUCUUGUUACCGAUAUUACCCCGAUGCCGGGCCCACUUACUAAAAACCGAGACUCUACCAAAAUUUUGGCAGAGUCUACCCUGUAAAUUGAGCAAACCCAACAAAAUUCAACUUGCAUAAAAUACAUAAUAUAAUCUCAACCAACAGCAUGCUUCCAACAUACAACAAAACAUACUAAAUGGCCUCCAGCCUCACAAGUAAAAUCUAACAUGGGCAAUAACAGAGCAUCUACUGAAUUUUGUUUACAAGAGCAGUUGAGUAGAAGGAAAUUACCUGAACCUAAUCUACUGAUGUAAACGAUUCGGCCUUUGAACACCGCUUGCAACCUUCCUAGAGCGACUACUGGCUGGGGGGCACAAAACAGAAAACAUGUGAGUAGACAAAAACAAGAUUUGCAUUUAAAACAACAUAGUAACCCUUCCGUGUAAAAGUAAUGCUCAAGACAUGCAGGUUCACAAUUCAUAAUUAAAUGCUCAAAAACAUAUUUCAUUGAAAACUCUUUAACCACAAAUCACUCCAUCCAUAAACCUCAUGCCCACAAUUUUACUGCUCUUACCAACCCACUGUAUAGACUCUAAUUUCUUCACACUCACAACUAUAUAUACAUAGGUAUAAAUAUAUAAAUAUAACUAUACAACAUACUCAUCACACUACCUAGGUACUGGGGAAACAAUCCAACUGGGAGAUCGUUUGACUAGCCCGCGGGAUUUUCAGGUGCUAUCAUGGGUCUAGGGAUGAGCGGUCUAAUUGGGGGACAAAACUCCAUAGCUCACACACCAGAACAUCCAACGUCAUGUGUAGCUCCAAUACUAAGUCCUAUGCGCGCAGACUAUAUCAUCACACAUGGGAACAUCCAACGCCAUGUGUGAUGAUGCCAAGCAAUAUACAUAAUCUUCCCAUACGCCGGAAAUUCCAACGCCGGGUAUGGGAAGUGUCUCACACGCUGGAACAUUCAACGCCACGUGUGAGACUAAUAAUAACAUGUUCUUCCCACACGCCGAAACAUCCAACGCCACGUGUGGGAAGCCUAGUAACUGGGGAAGGUACUUACAUAGUGUAAUCAUACAACUUCUCUCAACAACCCCUCAUACUCAAGUCCUUCCACAAACUCACCUCAACAACCCAAGUACCCCACCUAUAGACAAUAUAUAUAGAACUUUCCCAAAAUUCAUACAAACAUACUCUCGAUACUCAAAUAUGUCAAACCCACAAUAUAUUGCCAAAGCGCUAUACAAACAUCAAAUUCAACAUAUGAAUAUAAUAUAUUCAAUAUACCAUUUAAAACAUUAUGCAUAAAUCGUUCAUCAAUAAAACCAUGCGUCUGAUUGAAAACAAAGUCCACUUACAAGUAUUCCCACACUGCCUGACCACGAGAGGGUCCCGCUUACUGGGUACGAACGGUCGGAGCACCUAUUUCGAGAUACGAACCCUCAAUUAAUAUAAAAUUACUUCGAAAUGGAAAAUCACAAAUUAAUUACUUAAAUCCCCAAGUUCCCAGUGCGUGUAUGUUGAACGAGGUAUCCUAAGGUCCGGUUAUAGGUUUAGGAAUCGCUCACGGUUGGACGGUUAUCGCUAACCCACAAACUUUGAAUUAUUGAAUUGGAACAUCCGGGCCUCUGAUUCAUGAUCUGCAAAUUCCUAUAAGAUUCUAAGAGAACCUAGAUCAACAUAUUUUAAUUGGGAAACAAUCCAACGGUCAGAAUCUAUCGAACCCGGAUAACGCACAAUAUACGAAAAUCCGUUCGAUAGUCAAACGACGUCCGAAUUGAGAUCCGUGAAAUCCUACUCACUCGUGACAACCUGAGGAUCUCAUCAGGACCAAAUGCAGCUUCACCACCCUUGCCCACGCGUCGCCACAUGCGCGGGCAAUAGGUGGGUGUGUAGUGAAAUUUCCAGCGACGGAAAUUCUCCACACCACAGCUCCUCCUUCCUACCCUAGAUACUACUCGAAGCCAAGAUCACUUUAUUCAACUAUGGGGAGGUCCAAUUCGAACUGCAACUGGCCGAAAUUUCACUUUGAAAUUCAGCCAAACCCUAGGUUUCGAAAUCGAAUUUCUAGACAGCAAAUCGAUCCAAUCCUAUCUCAUAGAUAGCUAGAACAGAUAAAAAGAUGAAGAAUCCUCACCUUUUUUACCGGGAUUAAGCGGCGGAGACGACGGAAAAAAUCAGAGAAAAACCAGUCAAUACCGUCGGCGAUUCUCGAGUUUUCUGGCGGGCCUUGAUCGGGGCAUCGAGACGAAGCUAAUGGGACUGGUCUCGCGUCCUGCCGUGGCCGGAGCUGAGAGAACCGAAGAGGGAGAGAGAGAGAGAGAGAGAGACUGAGGAGAGAGAGAGCUGAGGUGAAAAGAUCUGAUUUUUACCAAAUUUUUUAAAAUAUUUACAAGUUUGCCACUGAUGAUGUUUUGCCCAUAACUUUUUCGUUACAACUCUGAUUCAAGCCUACCGCGUGUCUACGAAUUCGUCUUAGUACGACCUACCCAAAAAUACCAGUCGUGGUCCCAAAAUCCUUCCAGAUAAGAAAAUAACCAAUUUACCCCUACCUCAAGGGUAAAUUUAUAAAUUCACUUAAAUAAAUUAAAAUAAGGGAUUAAAUUUGGAGUCGGGGUGUUACAUAAUCAACAAAAAGAAUUGAUUAAUAAGACCUGCGUUAACAGCCAAACAUUAAUGUCCAAGCAAACAUAUGAAUUCAUGUAUGUCUUGUUACGGUUUAAGUUGAAAUAGUAUAAGGGACUGAUUUUCUCACCAUUGCAUCUACCAAGAUGCAUUGUAAACUAGCAAAUUGAUCAUCCGAUUUGAGGACUUUUGGUCUCCAUGUUCUAUAUACACAAACUCUAAUUGUAAAGCCGAACUGAAACUGCUGGAGAUCGUGGAUCGGAGCAAUAUUCAUUGUGUUUUGAAUCUGAAAAAAAGAAAAAGAAAAAAAGAAGAGGCUUUUGUCACUAUAAAGAUGUGUACAAAAUGAUUGCACAAAAUAGAGGAAAGAAGGAGGAGGCGGCUUGUUGUGCGUUAAUCAGGCAAAACUGAUCAUAUGAAUACCAAAAGGAGGAGAAAAACUCUCAUGUAAUGGGGCUAACACUUUUUGCUAUCCCCGCCAAAUAACGCAGUGACACAUAUGAUAACUUUUUUCGUGUCAUUGUGUUAUUGACCGGGGAUAGUAAAAUAGUGUUAUACCCCUUAUAGAUAAGUAUUUUUCCAAAAGGAUUGCUGGAUUCGCAGCGUGCCUCCCCAAGAGAAAUUGACCGCUCCAGGCGCAUCUCCAACAAUGCGUAGCAGCGCGCCUCCCCAAGAAAAAUCGACGGCUCCAAAGACAUCUCCAACAGCGAACGCGAAGCUUCCAUGGUUGCCCUCGAACCAGCCCAACCAAGCUGGUUUGAAAUGAAUUGGAAACGGAGGCAUCCUCUAAGUGAACGAAACAUCGGGAGCAAAUGAGACGCUAAGGGCCAAGGAGGGCAAAGAGGGAAAGUAGGAAAAGAAAUUUUAGAGAAGGGCAACAAGGUAUUUUCACUAUUGCCGAAUAAGACAAAAGGGAACCAAGAAUAGAAAGCGGGGGCAAAUGUAACUUCACUGUUCCUAAUGAACAGCUUAAGAACAAUGAAGUUUGGAUUCAGUUUUAGUAUAUAUAUAAUUUAUUGAGUUUUCAAGUUUGAUGUUAUAAAAAUAAAAUAAUCAGAGUAUGGGAAGUCCCACUGAAUAUUGGGAGUAGAAUUAUGUUUUCUCUUUUUAGUGUUUACACUGACAGAAUUUCUUCUCAGAUAGAACUCACCGACACUCAGAUUUCUCACUCUCUCUUCUUUCCUCUCACUAUUCCUUUCUUCUCUUCUCUUCUCCAUUGGUAUGUCUAUUGUGCGAAAGCGACAACUAACUGUGAGUGAAAAAUAAACAACAAUUGGCAAGAGAUAAAAAAAGAACAAAACAACACCAACAAGAACUGACAGGACCCGCCCCUGAAUUUCCCGAAGACCGAGGCGGACUCCGUCUUUAUUCCGACAUCAUCCUGAUACCGGGCCCACCUACUAAAUAAUCGAGACUUUCUACCAAAAAUUUGACAGAGUCUCCCCUGUAAUUUAAGCAAUCCCAACCAAAAAUUUACUCAACCUGCAACAUACACACAACAAUAAUAAUCCCACCCAGCAUCAUGCUUUCAUACAUCUACAAGUCAUACUAGAGUGGCCUUCGGCCUCACAAGUAAAAUCUACCAUGGCAAUACAGAGCAUCUACUGAAUUUAGAUUACAAGAACAGUUGAGUAGAAGAAUUUACACAGUUCCUAAUUAGAAAGAUGCACCGAUUCCGCUUCGUACUCCACUUGCACUUCCAAGAGCAACUACUGGCUGGGGGGCGCAAAACAGAAAACAUGUGAGUGGACAAAAACCAGAUUUGCAGUUAAAAACAACAUAGUAACCCCACCAUGUAAAAAUAAUGCUCAAGUCAUGCAGGUUCACAAUUCAAUAAGAAAUUACUCAAAACAUGCUUCAGUAAAACUCAUCUAAAAACAUCAGUUAUCUCUUUCAAAAAGAACCCCAUUCUCUCAAACUUACCACUCCUGUCAAACUAUUAAACAGACUCCAAUUCCUUUCACACUCAACUAUACAUAUUCAAUAAAUAUACAUAUAAAUAUAUAUAUAUAUAUAUAUAAAUAACUAUAAAUGGCUAUACGAUAUACUCAUUACACCACCUAGGUACCGGGGAAAACAAUCCAACUAGGGGAUCGUUUGACUAGUCCGCAGGAUUUCCAGGUGCUAUCCUGCGUCUAGGGAUGAGCGGUCCAACAGGGGGACGAAACUCCAAAGCUCACACACCGGAACAUCCAACGCCAUGUGUAGCUCCCAAACUAUGUCCUACGCGCGCAGACUGGAUCAUCACACACCGGAACAUCCAACGCCAUGGUGAUGACCCUAAACACUAUACACAGUCUUUCCGUACGCCGGAACAUCCAACGCCGCAUACGGAAAGUGUCUCACCCGCCGGAACAUCCAACGCCGCGAGUGAGACUAGUAACUGGGGAAGGUACUUACGUAGUGUAAUCACACCACUCCUCUCUAAUCACAUUCUUCCAUAUCACCCUCCAACAACCCAAAUAUCUCAACUAAAAAGAAUAUAUAUCAAAAUAUACUUCCCCACAAUCCAUAUAUAAAAAUACACUCUCAAAACCCAAAAUGCCAAUCUCACAAUAUAUUGCCAAUUGCUAUACAACCAUCAAAAUUAACUCAUGCAUAUAAUAUAUAAAAUCCAUGAGCCAUUAAAACAUUAUGCAAAAUCUUUCAUCAAUUAAAACCAGGCAUAUGAUUAAAACAAAGUCCACUCACAAGUAUUCCCUCGCUGCCUGACCACGUGAUACGAACCGUUAAUUAAUAUAAAAAUCACGUCUAAGCGGAAAUUACAAAUUAAAUGCUUAACUCCCCAAAUUUCCCAUACGUGCACAUUGAGGAAGGCAUCCUAAGGUUCGAUUACAGGUUUAGGAAGCGUUCACAAUUUUCACGGUUAUCGCUAACCCGCAAACUUUGCAUUUUUGAAUCGGAACAUCCGGGGAUCCGAUUCAGAAUUUGUAAAGUCCCAUAAGGUCCUAGAAAUUCCUAGAACAACAUAUUUUAAUUCGGGAAAGAUCUAACGGUCGGAACCUAUCGAACCCGGAUAACGCACAAUAUGCGAAAAUCUGUUCGAUAGCCAAACGACAUCCGAAUCGAGAUCCGCGAAUUCCUAUGCACUCGUGACAACCUAAGGAUCUCAUCGGGUUAAUUUACAUUCUCACCAGACUCGCCCACGCGCCGCCACACGCGCCGGCAGCGCGUGGGUGCGCAGAGUAAUUCCGGUGACGGAAAAACUCCACACCCGAGCUCACCCUUCCUACCCUAGCUUCUACUUGAGGUCAGGAUCACUUCACUCAACUACGAGAAGCUCCAAUUCGGCCGGCAACUGGCCAGAAUUUCAUUUUGAAAUUCGGCUCAAAACCUAGGUUUUCUAAUCGGUUUUCCAGACUCAAAAUCGAUCAAAACCUAUACAAUCAUCAACUAGAACUCGAAAAAUGGAUGAGAAACCAUACCUCAAUCACCGGGUUUGGGCGGCGGAGGCGGCGGCGCGACGGCUGGAAAGCUCCGGUUCAAAACCGUCGAGCUCGCGGCCGGAAUCUGCAGUUUCCGACGGGGAAAACGGCCAAGCCUUGAUCGGGACGACGGGACGAGUCGAUCGGGACCGGUCUCGGGUCCUGCCGUGGCCGAAACUGAGCGAACCAAGGAGAGAGAGAGUGAACGUCGGGGAAAGAGAGAGACUGAGGAGAGAGAGAGUGUCGCGCGCGAAGAGAGAGAGAGAGAACUGAGAAAAAAAUCUGAUUUUUAUCAAACUUUUUUGAAAUAUUUACAAGUUUGCCACUGACACUAUUUUGCCCGUAACUUUUUCGUUACAACUCCGAUUCAAGCCUACCGCAAGUCUACGAAUUCGUCUCAGUACCAUCUACCCAGAAAUACCACUCGUGGUCCCAAAAUCCUUCCGAAGAAGAAAGUGACCGAUUUACCCCUAUCUCAAGGGUAAAUUCGUAAUUUUAUAUAUAUCGAUUAAAAUAAACAUUUAAUUUGGAGUCGGGGUGUUACAAGAACACCAAGAUUUAUACUGGUUCGACAAUGCCUACAUCUAGUUUGGAGACGACGGAAUAUUCCACUAUAAUCAAUAAGGACAUAUAAUAGUGUUUAUCACUCAAUUUCACAAAGACCCAAUUAGCCCAAGCUCACACACUCACAAUAGGAAGUGAAAACCAAAAAUACAAAGCAAAGAACAAUUUGAGAAUUUUCUUCUCUCUGCCGAAUGACUUCUUGCUAUUUUUCUUUUCCUCACUUUUGAUACAGCAACUUCUCUUCUCCACCUCAUUCAACUGCUGCCAUGCUUCUCCUUUUAUAGAGAGGUCAACGGGUGAAGACCAGCUAUUUCAGUUAUUAGGCCAACUAUGAAGUCAAAACAACCAACCAUAUUUGCAUGGCUUUGUCUCCCACAUGCAGCUGACCAAUUAAUGCAUUCCCAUUACAAUUUAUUUGCCAAUCAACCAACUACAAAUUUAAAUAGCCGACAGAAACAAUGCACGUGGGUGCAAUCUUGAGUCAAAUAGUCAACAGUGUCUUUGCAAGUAGAAAGGAUGCCUAUUUGUAGGCAAAGUAAAUGGCACCCGUGAGUGGUAAGGGAGACAUCAUGAUGCUUCUAUCCAACAUCAUUAUUAACUUUUUGACUAAUAUCUCAUUUUUUUCUUCAUGUGGGCUUCAUCAUUUCCUUUACAACAUUUGAGAGUAUUUAGAUUUAUAUAUAUAUAUAUGAGUUUCAAACAUAAUUUAGGCUGAAAUGGAUAAAAACACAUUCCAAAAGUGUAAUAUCACAAAGCAAUAAACGAGAGAUGUAAAAAAUUUAUACCUCUUUUUACCGAUUCCUCCCAUUCCAACUUUAUGCUAACCCACGAUACCACACCUCUUUUUUUCCUUUUUCUUUUUCAUGAUCUUCAUCUGCAAAAUACAACAUCAAUAUUCCUUUUAGUAGCAAGAAGUGUCAAAAAUGAAAGAAGAAUAAUUCAUGUAUUGAAAUUAAUGUAUAAAUUAUGUACCUCAAGUUGAUCGUUAGGCAUGAUGGUUGAGAGUUUUGAGGUGUUGUGUGGAAUUUGCUAAGGGGUAGGGAGGAGGAGACUUGUUUUCAGUUUUGUGCUUGCUAGAGAGAGAGAGAGAGAGUUUUGAUCUGGAGGCAGUGGGGAAGUAGGGGUGGGUGAGGGUUGAAUAUAUAAUUAUUGAGGUGCCUUGGGUCUUGUUACUAUAGCAUGACUGUGAUUGGGUGUCACAUGUGAAUCAUAUAUUUCUUUCACUUUGGCAUGUAGCAUUCAUAGAAAUUAAAAACACCGCAUGUGAUGCCUGCUUGCUUUUGAUUUAGUGAAAUGGCAGCCUUCUUUAUGUUGGAUUUAUUGGUUGUUCCCAUCCAUCACUCAUGGCAGUAGUGACCAAUUCCAAACAAAAAAACAAACCAAGUGCCCUUUGCUUUUGGCAAGUUUCUCUCUCUAUAUCUGCCUAGCUCUCUUUGCAUCUAUUUAGUUCAGGUACGUGUAUUCAAUUUAUUUAUGCAAUUAUUUCUGUUUUUAACCAUGUACCAUGAGCUCCUCCUCAUUUAUAUGUUUGGUGGGAUGAUACUUAUAUGGUCGCAAGCAAAGCAAGGACAACGUUUGUUUUUUAUUUUGUAGUUUUUUCCCAAUUAUGUUUACUUGUAAUGUCAAAAAGAACAAGAAGAAGAAGAAAAGAAUUUAUUUUGUAUUAAUGUUUUUGGAUGAUAUGAUACCAUACAAGUUACAUUUAUCUUCAAAUUAAAAUCGAUGUCCAAUUUAUGUUCUCUCCUAUUUAAUAAUAAUAAUAAUAAUAAUAAUAAUAAUAAUAAUAUCAAAUCAAAUAUGUGUGAGAGUGAAUUAAGUCAAAAAAAGGUUGCAACACAUGGAAAAUCACUUGGACAAAACCGCAUUCUCUCGUCAAAGCAAAAGUCUGAUUUGGAAUCCAUAGACAGGGUAGGAAAGGAAAAAGAAAUUUUUUUUAAAAAAAGUGAAACAGAAAUGAUUUCAAUGGAAUGUUGCAUAUUAUUUUAUUUUCGAUGAUGAAGGUUUCACCAAAACCCUAGUUAAGUAUGCACGUAUGCAUGAUUAACAUAUUUGAUAGAUUUUGAUAGGAUUGAAAAAGAAAAAAAAAACUAUGUAGGGGCAACAUGUGGUGAUGUGAUGUGAGGAAGAGAGAGAGAGAGUGAACUCGUGAAGUGGGCAACGAAUCUAUGAGAGAUAUUGGAGGGGCUUUUGCUAUUUUUAUUUUAUGGUUUUGUUCGCUCAAUCCCAUUAUACUACAAAAAUAAAUAUACAAAAGUCAUUACUCUACUUUCCCGUUUUACCACACACACACGCUCUCUCUCUCUCUCUCUCUCUCUCCUUGCUGAUUCCAUAGUCUUUAUAGAAAUAACAGCAUACGUUAAAUUAUAUAAACCACACCAGUUUGUCAAUAAGAUCAAACUCAGUGGAUGAUAAUCUUGACUUGUAGAUUAUUGGUCUCAAGUUUGAACCUCCAUGAUACCUUGAUAAUGUAUGUUUGUGUAUAAAAAACCCUCACCCCCCUUAUAAGCCAAUACCCCAUUAAGAUAUGAAUGAGAAGCAGCCAACUAAGCGCCGUGGGACAAUGAUGUUACACAUUUGAGGAAUUACUAGGGCCUUUCAAACCGUAUUUUAGCCAACUAAGUUUUCUUCUAUAUUUUAGCCAAAACUUAUUGUAUGAAAAUCUUCCCUUGUUCUAGUCAUUUUCAACCAUAUUUCUGCAGUCUCUCUAUCUCUAUGCCUCGCACAUGGUAGAAAGAAAAAGAAAAGGUCUACUUGUUAAAAGAUAUAGCUAGGUCAAGAAAGAAAACAUGAAAGUUGAUGUCGUUCUAUUUACUUUUGCAUGAGAUUCUUAUGGGUAAGACGAACAUGACUUGACAACUCUGAGAAGAGCAAUUUCAACUUUGAAUUUAACAUGUGCUAGUGCAGCUGAAUUUAAGAUGUAUCAAUGAUUUAGAUUAAAUUGUCAUGUGCUUAUAACUACAAGCCAUGAUAAUAGCAAAUCACCCGCAACAGAUGACCCGCAACAUAAACAACCUGUAUCAAAUUUACAAUUAGGUCAAUCCAUGACUUGUACAUUUUUAUAUUACAUUUUAUUAUAAAAUAAAAUAAUUAGAGUAUGGGAAGUACCACUGAAUAUUGGGAGUGAAAUUAUAUUUAGCUCUUGUGGUGUUUAUACGGACAGAAUUUCUUCCUCUGAUAGAACUCUUUCUAAGAUAGAGCUCUCACACUCUCAAAUUCUUCUCUCCCUCACUCUCUCUUGUUUCUGGAUCGGUUGUACAUUUUUCAACGGAAGGGGAAGCCUAUUUAUAAUUCCAAUGGCCUCCCAUGGAUGUACAAUGCAUCUCCAAGAUCUUCUUUUUCCAACACAAUCAUUUCUCUUUUUGACUAUCAUUCUCUUAUUUACUUCAUGUGAGCUCCAUCUACAUUAUUUACAACACAUUUUAAUAUAUAAACAUUUUUAAAAAGAAAUGCAUGGAGAGAGGCAGAGUGAGAUAAAAGAAAAGCAACAUAAAAGGUCUUUCUCUCUCACAUACCCAACAUUACUUGCUGGAAUUCAUUCUUUUUGUUUAGUUUAAAGGACCUUCUUUUGUUCUCUUUUUAUAAAUUACAUGUCCCAAAGAAACACCAUAUUUUUUCAGUUCCUGUUUUUGCACUUGCUAAUUAUAAAAAUAAAAUAAAAAUCUGUUUUUACCACCAAUGGCAGACCUGCCAAAACCAUCACACUCCCAUCUAGCCUCCAACCCUUUCAGUUUUUUUUUUAAGUUUCAAACAGAAAUAAGAAAGGAAGCCAACACCAGCUCUCUUAACCAUGGAAAUAUAGCAAAAAUCAGCCAAUUAACUUUUUACCUCUAUUACCGAUUCCAACCAUUCCAAAUAGCUGCAUGCAUGCCCUUUUUUUUUCUUCUUUUUUUGAUACGCCUUCAUCUGCAAGGUAAUACGACAUCAAUACUCCUCACUUCCUUGAGGUCAGAGUCAUGGAACACGAGAAAGUUGAUUCCCUGCUGCUAUCUUCCCAAGCCAAAACCAGGAAAAAUAACAGUGACGAAGACCAAAUAACCAAAGCCAGUCAUAGUCAUAGACGAGGACAAAUUAAUGUGCCAAAACCAAAGCAAAGAAAUGGAGCCCAUAGUACGGACGGUACAAACUAGAAAACAUUAUUGAAACACUCACGUAGGUAGAAUCUUAAUUAAUUAGUUUACUAACCUUUUGUUUAAUUUGUUUUGCAUUUAUGUUAGAAGACUGAUUUUCAUUUUCUAACUACAUACACUCACGUCUUGGAGCAAUGCUGAGAUACGGGCCACGAUGGUCACGUCAUCCUACUGUUACCUAGGUUUGCAUGUUUCAUUCGUUCAACACAAUGACAAAAACAAAGACAAAAACUAUAUGUAUGUUAUAUUAUAUGAGAUAGGGAUCAUAAGAUUCUAAGGAAAAACUAGUGAAAUGUCUCUGUCUGUGUCUGCCUAGGAUUCUAGGGACUACAUAAAGACCUCUGGUUGGUGAAAUAUUAAAGUGUUUGAUUAGCCGAGAAAAUUGAAAAAGAAAAGGUCUACUUGUUAAAAGAUAUAGCUAGGUCAAGAAAGAAAACAUGAAACUGCCAGUGCAGCUGAAUUUAAGACGUAUCAAUGAUUUGGUUUUCUUUCAUGAAUCAUGAUGAUGAAGUGGUUUCACUUGGUACAAAAAUGAUUUGGUUUUCCUCCUGCUCUUGCUCUUGCUCACCUACAUGUGCUAGUCUCGACAAACAAAGCAUGUAUUUGAUUGAUUUGGAUGACCUUCCUUCACCACCUCAUUUCACAACAAACCUAACCAAUCCUCCUAAAUGAAACAACUAGCUUCAUUACAACUAGCAAUUUAGAAACUUCAACAUUUGAUUGAAGUGAACCCAAGAUGAGACAUGCGUCAAUAUUCCUAUAAAUAUAAAAAGAUCCUAAAUUCCUAACAACAUCACAUACAUUAUCAAAUAAAUAAAUGAAUUGGAUCAAGUUACCCUUAUCUUCGAAUUAAAAUUGACAUCCAAUUCAUGUUCUCCAUUUAAUAAUAAGUGUAAGAAUGAAUUAAGGCACAAAAAAAGGUUGCAAACAUGUUCUCCAUGUAUAUUGGGCCUUCAGCUUUUGAUGUCCAUUCUCUCUUUCUGGGUUUGUAUGAAAUAUGUUUCAGCCCCAAAAAGAGAGAGGAAAGACUUGGUUUUUGGUGGGUGGGUGCGUGUUACGCAUGUUUCUAAGUGGAUUUACCUUUUUCUUGUUUGGAUGAAUACUUUUUCCUUGGUUGGGAGAAUUAUUUUGGGUUGGACUAAAAAAGAAGGUAUAGUUUUGCAAAUGUAAAUCUCAACCAGUAAUGUGGUCGCCUUUAUAUUUGAGAACAACAAGUGGGUUUGGCCUUUAUACUUGAAAACAAUGAAUGGGUUUUGGUUUUUCUCAACUAUCUUCCCUGCCUGCCUUGAAUUGAUUUUCUCACAUGGAACUGCACUUGAAAAGCUAAUGCAUAAAUAAUCUGUAUUGGGUUUUGCAGUUGCGGUGUCAGGUGAGAUCACUGAGCCUUCAUUAGAAUGGCAAUGGAAAACAAAUUGACAGUACUUUCUCUGAAAAAACAAGCACUGGCUGAUACAAACUAAGAAUACGCGCACACACACUAAAAAAGGGUGCUCAAUUAAGCCAUUUCUACUUUGGCUUUUGCAACAUUUAUUAGCUCCAAUUGUGACAUUGCCUUACACCCACAUGCUCAAAGUAAAGCAUUAAGCUCUGUAAGUGUGUGUAGGAGAAGCACACAAGUGCUUUUGUAUUUACUCCUUCCUUGUUUUGGUAGUGUUAGGCUGUUUUACACAUGGGGGCCUUGUGCUUCAAACCCAAAAGCACAACUUAUAUUGAGACUGUACUUUGCUGCUUGCCAAAAUGGGCUAGGUAGCAGCCACCAAAGCCACCUUUUAUGGCAAUCUGUGCAAGCCAAUCCAAGUUCAUAGAAGGUGAUCAUCUUCUUCAUAUAAAUUGACUUGACUUGAUGAAUUAUUGAUCAUCACUUUAUGUCUUCAUCAAUCAUAAUUAGAGCCUAAUGCUAAAGCUUUCACUUCAAGCAUUAAAUUUGUUUGAAGCGAAUCUACAUUUAGACACACUGGGAAUCAUUUAGCCUACUCUACUCUAAUUAAAUUUAGUGGGCCGAUGAAGAAGACUAUAUCGUGAUCAUUUUCAGCACAUUUGAUAACGUGUUUAAGAAUAUAAUUAUAGAGAGAGAGAGAGAGAGAGAGAGAGAGAGAGAGUUGAUAAAUAGCUUCUUAGAGCAUUUCCAAGAGAGAUGUCAAAUAUCAAAUAUCAAAUUUAAAUGAGUGAUGCUAUUUCCACCCAUCUGUUAUAUUUUUUCACCCACUUUAUCUUUAAACUUUUAAAGACAAAUUUAACCUUAUUGUAAAAUGACUUAAAAUGACUUAAGGAAAAAGAAAGAGAAAAAAAAAAAAGACGCAGACUUCUGUUCUCACAUAACCCUAUCGUUUGACAGAAAGAAAAAUUAAAAAAAACACAAGAAAGCUAUGACUCCUUGCUCAUGAUUCCUCUUAUGACUUUUCAGUGCUCAUAACUCAAUUCUCAAAUAAUUUUCUUCUAUUUUCUAUUCAUUCAAUCAAAUUGUUUAUGAAGAAGAAAACCACAAGAGAAUGGAUGUUGAAGAGAACGAUUUUGGAGAAAAGGUAAGGAAAUCUUAUUUGAACAGAAUUUCUAAGAUCUUUACGAUUACUUAAAGCAUUGGGAGAUGAGUAUUUCUUGGACUUUGAUUUUUUUUUUCCUUAAACAAAUUAAAAAUAUGAAAACCUAAGGAUGAACAAGUUUAAGCGGACCAGAAAGUUUGAAAGGUGGGUAAAGAGGUUGCUGGGUAUGUUCAGAAAUUGGGGAGCAUGAGCCAUGUUUUGGUUUAAAGGGCUGGUCAUCUUUUGCCUGCUAACCAGCCAUUGUCAUCAAAUUUCGUGAUGUGAUGUUGCUUCUUUUAUCGUUUUACUGCUGUAUUACGUACUAUUGUUUGUUUUCUUCUUUCAGGGAGAUGAAUAUUCUAGUUGUAGUAACAUAGACUUUGAACAUGGAGCAUGUGAUAUGGAAAAUAAGAUGCAACAAAAAUGAGAGAGAGAUGUGUAGGCGUCAGAGAGAUAGAAGACAUGAACAGAGAGAAUAAAGGAAAGAGGAAAUGAGGUAAUAAUUAAAAGGGUAUUUUAGGAAUAUUGGUGGAUGGUAAAAUAGGAUUGUGUUUUUUAAAAUUUAAAUGGUGGAAAUAGUAGCACUCAUUUAAAUUUGAUGGCUGAUGUGGCAAUUUGACGUCUUACACAGCUUUACACUCCACCCUAUAUGUCAAAUUAAAUUAUUAUUUUAUUACAUUUUAGUGUUGAUUUAUUUUUAAUUAAAAAGAAAAGAAAAGAAAAAAUAAUAAAAUAUUUAUUUGACAUCUUUCUUUUGGAAUGUCAAAAAUAACAUCUCAACCUCCAACAUUCAUUUCGCAUCAGCUUUGCCACAUCGGUUGGAGUGAUGUGAGAUGUUAUUUCUAACCGUUAAAUGUCUAUGUGGCACUUUUGACACGUCGAUUGAAGAUGCUCUUAAAUCAGUCUUGUUAAAAGCUAACUGCCUUUUCUUUUCCAAUUAAAUGGCUCCUUAGCAUUUGUUAAUUACAUGACUUUUAGUUUAGAUCCUUUCUUUUCUUUAAUUAUAUGUCUCUUUCUCUCCUAUUCUCAACCACUUCCCCAUCCCCCUUUUUUAAUAUAUUUUAUUCAUUUAAAUCAGAGCUACCACCACAACAUGAUACCUAUCAUAUUUAAUUUGUAAUUUAAAAAACUAUACAAUUAUAGUUGUGGAAUGUUCAUUAUUCUUCUUCUUUUGCUUCUACUUUAGCCUACAGACACGUCCAUAAAUAGCCUACUCCUCCAUAUCAGAUUCUUGUGGGUCUAAAUCUGUGGUCAUCAAAACUAUACUGAAUAAAAUAUUAAAACAAGGAAUUGUUUAACUUAAUAAUGAUCCUCUCUUGAUUAUUUUAUUAAUUACCUUGCUUCUAUUUGACCAUCACUGAGGGUAAGAAUAAAAUUUAGGAACAUAUUCUAAGGUAAAGUGUCAUAUCUCCGGAUAAGUUUAAUUGUAUUCGUUGCUACUUUGGGGACACUUACAAGCUUCUUCUUGUGUGCAUUAUUUCUGCCGUAUUAUUAGCCAACAUGGAUUGCUUUAUCAAAUCCAAGUUCAUUGUCAAACAAAUCCAAUUAAGAAAAUGGGCAAGUUUGUCAACCAUAAAAUAUUGAAAAGAUGCAUCUGUGAAUGUAAAGGAGCCACGUACAAUCCGAACAUAACCAAUUGAAAUCGUUGCAUGCAUGGUAAUGUCAUCACUACAAUCACAUCCCAAAAGUUAGGCAGCGCCAUGAAAAUAGUCAAUCCUCUGCUUCAAAUGAAAGUGCAGAUUCAUGGGGGAGGAGGAUCUUCAUCUUCCCAUCUCAAUCCAAUUACUUGGCUGGCUGGUCUUCAUCACCCGCCUGAGACCUUUGCCUAACCCAAUUUCUAUAUUCUCCAUCAGCUGGCUUAUGGACCAACCACUCCAUGCCACGUGCCUGUUUCUCUUCAUCACCUCAUGUUGGAACAAAGGAAACAGGACCCACAUAGGCCGGCGUCAACCCUAGACCUUUCUUUUUGAAAUUUGGUGCAAGAGAACCCUUAUAAGUUAUACCGUAUUACCUUAUAACAUGGUUUGGCCUGUGAUCAGGUGUGGCAGCACUGCUCGUUCAUUCUAUCUUCACACAUACGUGGACGUCGCCUAUUGGUUCUUUUUUUAGGGUACCGAGAUGAUUAAAAAUUCCUAAGACAACCUAACAUCACAGGUGUCCAGUCCUAACUGGAAUGAUGGAAUCCUUUCCUGAUAAAGAAAGAUCAGUCUCCUUGUAAUUGUAGCCAAAUUGUGGAGUGUGACCGAGCAUGCUUUCCAUAUAGAGAUGAUGACCCAAUUUUUUUCAUUCACUUUUCGAAAUAAUUCUUAAUAUGCAAAUUUGGUUGGUCAAUUGCAAACUUCUUUUCAGGCCCGUUGUAAUGAGCCCACAUUAAAAAGAUUAUUUAGGCCACUUUUGAAGUUGAUUUUAAUUGGCCAGUUAGUUUUAGGUAGAAAGACUGGAAAAUAAAAACUAUAAUUGUCAUGGAAUUUUGGCUGAUUUGAUUUGAGCCUCAUAAUUCAAAAAAAUUGACCUAGUUAGCGGAAAAUUAAACUAUGGUAGUAAAUAAAUUAAUAAAUUAAUUCGUGAAAUACUAACUCCGAAAGAGAUUUCGAGUUCACAUUCCUCACGCUCGUUUCUCAAAAAAUAAAAUAAUAUUGAAUCAUCAGAAUGUAUUAGCUAGCUAGUGUGAGAUUGUAUUUAAUUUAACAUGCAUGCAUGACUUGCGAAAGCAUUAUUGUAAUUAAAAAUAGGCCCCUAGAAAUGAAUUAAAGUCAAAUGGGGACUCAAAAAGUAGCAUUUGAAACCCGCAUUCAACCAUAAAGAAAAAAACCAACAAACGUUACAUGUUGAAAUUACACUAUUAUUGUUAAUGGAGAGGACAAAUUAGCUUAGAUACAUUAACAAAUUCAUUCCAAACUUUCUUUCACCUAACCACUAACCACUUAAUGGCUUUAAUCACUCACUACGCACAUUUGCAUACACCGCCCUUGCAACUUUGAUUAAUUGGUUUGGUCAAUCACACAUAUACUUUGAUUAAUAAGAAAAUUCCUGUAUAUGAGUUAAUAUGAGCACUGCCGUGUUUAAGUGUUUAAGACUUUUUUAUUGGCUUUUUUUUUUCUUUCCAUAACUUAAUUCGAGCUUAAUACGAAAUUAAUGAGUUAAUGUUCAUCAUUGCUUAAAAAACACAAUUGUUAGCAUGAAUAAUAAUAAACAAAUUGGGCUUCCAGUCAUGAUCUUAGGGGGACCGAGAGGGGUGGUACUCUAUCAGUGGUAAGGCUCCCGCUCCCACUUGCGGUUGGGCGGAUAAGGUUAUGUAGUUAGACCGACGACUGAGUCCGCAUGUGUAAAAAAAAUUGCCUAAUCCCCAAUGACAUCGUUUUUCUCUCAAAAAUAAACAAACUGCAUUUACAAACACAAAUAAUACAAUUAUAAUGAGAAAACAACAUCAUUCACGGACAAAAUGGCAAAAAAAAAAAAUAAAUAAGAAAAAAAACUAGUUUUUUUAAUGUUUUUCUAUGCAUUUCUUUUCCUGUUAUAAUUUGGUAUUUUGGGUCAACCCUAUUGUGGUCACUUUCCAGUGAUAAUAGCAUGAAACUCCAUGCAGUGUCGACUUCGUAACCAUUUCAAAUGUCCUCUGUUUUUUUGGAUAUACAGGGUCAUGAAGGUCAUUUCGGCGUGAAUAAAGUGGGCUUUAACUAAUUUUUGAGAGCUGGACACAGCAAAACUUCUGUAAUCUUCUAUGCAUUUGCCACAGCUGUUCUCACUAUAUUUAUUUUCAUAAAGCCUCUAAUUUUAUUUAUUUUCAACACACAAAAAAAUAAAAAAUAAAAAAUAAAACAGAUUAUAUUUAUUAUUAUGAGCUUCUUCAAACUCUUUAUGACGUGUGUGCCGAUGAUUCAGGUGUAUACAAAUAAAACCAACACCAUCCAAUAACAUCAGAGUCCCAUCCACCGUCUCACAGAAUGAAUAUAAUUGGUUGAACUUAAAAUAUAAUUAAUUAAUAAUCAAUCCAAAAUAUGGUAUUGACAAAACUGAAACAUAUUAUAAUUAGUGAUAUAAUUAAAAAAACCAUGCACAGUAUUUGGAUGGUGUUGUCCAUGGUCAAAUUUUUAAGGGGGGCAGAAGGGAGGAAUUAUUACAGAGAAAGUUGAAGAGAAAGCUAAAACGACCAACCUAAGUUGCCUUCCAUUCCACGUUUCUUUCUCUUCCGAAACACCAGUAUUUAGGGGCUUCUGUUUCUCACACUGCUUUUUUUCUCUUAACACCUCAUCCAUCUGAUCCAUCUUCCAGCUCUCUCAACUUUGUUCCAUGGCUUCUUUUCUUUUCCUCUGUGCCCCUACCUCUUCUUUCCACUUACCUAUCCCUUUUCCUUGAGCUUUUCCCUUUUGCUUCUUGGAAACUUACUUUUUUGUUUGAAUCUUUCUGGGUUCUGUUUUUUUCUCUAUAAAUAAAGUGUCUUGGAGUUUUGGGGAGUUGAGAAGCUGUGUUUGGUUUGUACCCAUUGAAGCUUGAGAGAUUCUAAGUUGUGUUUUGAGGUCUUGUUGAUCAAAACCAAGAUUCUGAAACAGGGGUUUUAGACACAAAAAUUCAUUGGGGUUUUAGGGAAAAAACAAGGAAUUAAUGGAACACGUUCCAGCUGGAAUGGUCGAGCAAUAUGAGCAGAUCGAUUUGCCACCGGGGUUUCGGUUCCACCCAACCGAUGAAGAGCUUAUUUCUCACUACCUUCAUAAGAAGGUUAUUGAUAUCAGCUUCUCUUGUAAAGCAAUUGGGGAGGUGGACUUGAACAAGUCUGAACCUUGGGAUUUGCCUGGUAAGCUUCUUCUGAAACACAAUCUGUUUUAAUGUCUGCAAAUGGUUGGAAUUUGCUUUGUAUUGAUUUAAUUUACUUUCUUUUUGGUUUCUGGAUGUGAAGGGAAAGCGAAAAUGGGAGAAAAGGAAUGGUACUUUUUCUGUGUGAGAGACAGAAAGUACCCAACUGGUCUGAGGACAAACAGGGCAACUGAAGCUGGAUAUUGGAAAGCCACGGGGAAAGAUAAAGAGAUCUACAAAGGAAAAUCCCUAGUUGGCAUGAAAAAGACCUUGGUUUUCUACAGAGGCAGAGCCCCCAAAGGAGAAAAGAGCAAUUGGGUCAUGCAUGAGUACAGAUUGGAGGGUAAAUUCUCUGUUCAUAACCUCCCCAAAACUGCAAAGGUAUUUGCUUUUCCUCUGUUUUCCCCUGUUUUUAAAUCUGUUUAUUUGGUCAUGUAUUUGAUGCUAAUGGAAAUAUAUUGUGUCUAUUUUGCAGAAUGAAUGGGUGAUUUGCAGGGUUUUUGAGAAAAACUCUGGUGGCAAAAAAACCCAUAUUUCAGGAUUUGUGAGAUAUGGUGCUCUGGGAAAUGAAAUGGAUCCUUCUGGUCUGCCACCGUUAAUGGAUUCUUCACCUUACAGCUCCAAAACCAAACUCGCCUCUGAGUCCUCUUACGUGCCCUGCUUCUCCAACCCUGAUCCCACUGAUGUUCAAAGAAACCAAGGGAUUGUUGAUUAUAUGAACAACCCUCUUUUUGGUGUUUCUUCAAACACCUCCAACUUUUUCCCAAGAGCCCCAUUUUCCACCUCAUUCUACUCUGCUCAGUCUGCUCCAGUUGCAGCAAAUUUCCAGUUCCCAGGUUCAGUUUUAAUGCAAGACCAGUCCAUUCUGAGGGCCUUGCUUGAAAACAAUGGUUCAAACAUGAGGCAGAGCUUCAAAACAGAGAGGGAAAUGGUCAGUGUGUCCCAAGAGACGGGGCUAACAAGUGAAAUGAACACUGAAAUCUCUUCUGUCAUGUCCAAUCUUGAGAUGGGAAGGAGGCCAUUUGGUGAUCAAGAGGCCCCAGCAGCAGCAGCUGGAGCAGUGGACCUGGAUAAUUUUUGGAAUUAUUAAAAAUUUCAAAUAGCAAGCAUUAUAUAUAAGAUUGAAUGAGUAGUAAAAGAAAAGAAAAAGCAGCUUCUGCUUCUGCUUCUGCUUCCAGUAUUAUUGUUGUGAGUUUGAAUAUUGAUGGUAAGAAAUUGAAUAUUGUGGGUGGGUCUGUGUAUAGAUUUUCUGAAUCCAAAUGAAAAACUGAAUGAAAGUGAAGCAUCUGUUAUGUACUGUAAGAAAUUAUAUCAUGUAUUCCUAUUUAAUUAUAUCAUGUAUUGGCCUCAUUGUUGUGAAGGUGCUCAAGUACAACAUUGGUGACAUAUGAGAAUGAGAUUCAGUUGGUGGAAAUGAUUUUCUUUUCUGUUUUUUACUCUUUAAAAACUUUGUACCUUUAGUUACAUCAUGAGUUUGGAUUUUCAAUUUCUGGUGUGGGGCUCAGGUAAAUGUGGUGUUGACAUUCUCUCUCUCUCUCUCUCUCUCUCUCUCUCUACACACGCGUGCAUGUCGCCCUCAAACACACGGAGGAUUUUGAUAAAUGAACAUGCAGUUAAGUUCCCAGGUAAAUCAUUGGCCUAGCUAGGGUUAGCUUAGAUUAAAAUUUCGACCUCUGUGAUUAACUUUGACUUAAAAUGAUGUGAAGUUUUGUAUUAAUAUAUUUGACAAUGCUCAAGAGGGCCUGAUUAUUUCAUGGGAAUUACAGACAGUGUUUCACAGCUAAUUUAGAAUCAAAUUACAAAUAAAAUUUAUCUAAUAACCAUUAAUUCAGAUGGGUAAUGUGACCGAUGAUGCUGAGUGAUUAGCAAAUGAACUGUUACUUCCAUGAUUAUUUGACUAAUCCUUGCUUGCUUAGUCAAGAUAUGUUCAACCAAAUCAUGGAAGAUGUGGAAUGAAAUGAAAUAUGAAGUUGACAUAUCGAAAUCAUGGAAGCUUGGUUGAAAAUGAGCUUUGGAAGAAACUUUUAAUUGUAGAGAAAAAACACAGCUGUCUGAAAUCAAGUUCACAUUUCAGGAUAAGAAUUAUGGAAACAAUAAAAGUCUUCUCACAUAUAAUAUAUAUUAUUUUUUUGACUUAUUUACACUAACACACCAUUAAGUUUUCGUUUUUUUUUCUUUUCACAAAACUCCCUGAGGUUUUAAAUUAUUUUUCCAAAAUUCCUUUUCGUUGAUUUUUUUAUCUAAAGAUUGAUGAUUUUAUAUAUAAAAUUUGUAUUCAAAUGACAGAGUGAGCUUUUGAGAUUAAAUUGUGCAUAUAUUUGUUGAGAUUGAUUUGCACACGUUUUUUAAAAAUGAAAUCACCAAGUUUUGGACAAACAAACAAUCUAAAACCUGAGAAGUUAUUCGUGUAAUUUUAAAAAUCUUAAGAGUUUUGUGAAAAAAAUAAAAAAUAUGUGAAGAUGUUAGUGUAAAUAAUUCUUUUUUAUAUAUAUAUAUAUAUAUAUUUUUUUUUUUAAGGGUACUAAAAGUCAUUGUAGUUGAAGGAAGGAAAACGGGAUCUUAUAUUUAUACCCAUUAUUAUAUUCUAUACCUUACAUUUUCAUGGAGGCUGUCACACCAGAUUCAUUCCUAUAUGUUGGAUCUUCAACGCUGUCCUCUCAUCCAAUAUCUGUGAAGUAUGAUGCAGGCAAUCCGUUAUCAAGCUGUAAAGCAUGAUGUUAUUGAUGUAAGAAUAUUUACCUUAUUUUAUUAUGAUGUCUUUAUUUUUUUGUAACAUGUGGGUUUUAGUUUUUGACACAUGCAUGCAUGAUCCAAUCACCAAAGAAUUUGAGUCCUGCACGACAUGUUUCCCAUCAGUAAUAUUAUUAUUGUGCAUAUGAUUUUUGUCUUUUACAGAUUCAUUUUUCUUGACAUCAAAUUAAUAAACCUCCAAUCCCUAAGUAUCAAAAGUCACCCCUAAUUAAUCACCCAACAAUAUUAAGGUCCCCCAUAUGCUCAACAAUAUGAUCUCAGGGCUCAGGCCACCCUUCAUCAACACAAACAAUAUUUGUUAAAAUAACUUCUUAUACAUGCUCAGUACAUGAGCAAUGUCAUAAUAUAAGUUAUCGCGCAAGGAACUUGUAACUUAAGCGAUAAAAAUAAUUAUUUAUGUAUUUUUUUAAGUUAUGCGCACUAGGUAUAUGCACCGAGUAUCAGGUAUUUCAAGGAAAUAUUUCUAAUUUCUAAUUUUGUACACCAGGUAUAUGCACCCGGUGCCUUUUUCUUAUCAAGCAUUCUACUUGUGGGGGAAAAAAAAAAAAAAAACUAUCAUUUAAUUCAAAAAAUUAUUGGAUCUUCAAUUUGAAAAAGUUUGCAAUUCUGUAAUUUCAGAAGAUCGCCGUGGGUGUUUGUGUCAACCGAACGUGAGAAGAAAAGCGACGUAACGGAGUCCCAUCGGAGUUAACGUUGAAUGUUGUGAGGUAAGAUUCGGGCACCGAGUUAGGCCUUUCUAACGGUCGACACGUACCCCGCGCUAAUCCGACACGAGCUUCAGGUUUUGCUGGCGUCACCGGGUAGCCAACCAAUGCGAACGCUUCCCGCUACUCAAAGCACGCCACGCGGCCUCAGGUGUUAUGGGCCUCCCUCCAUCUAUGCUCUCUCGUGGAAACACACAACUCUCCUCACAUCAUACACUGACUUUUGUCACCAAAAAAUCUUUUGAUUUUUUCCUUCGCAAAAGCUUUGAUAGUGAACAAGAAAAACAAAACACCAUUUAGUGGUAUUUGUCUUUAAUUAGUUAGAAGAAAUUUCGACUUUGAUUUAUAUGAAUGAUUAAGAAAUUUCAACUUCAAUUGAUAUGAAUGAUUAAGACGAUAUGUAUUUAUGUUGAAUUUGAUAUUUAAUUGUCGCUAACUUAUUACAGUGGUAUAGUUUUGUUGAGAGUAUAUUAAUCAAUCCUACCAAUAUAUAUAUUUAGCAAAAACAAACAAAAGAAUAAGAAAGAAUGUUUUGUAAAAGAAAACUCUCUCAUCAUAACAAAAUAUCGAAAUCAAAAUUCAUUUAUAUAUUUACAUAUAUAGGAAGUCGAAAAUCAAGUUGCAAAGUUCCUUAAUGAUAGCAUUAUCAUGUGUAACUUGGUUGUAUGGUUUUUAUACAUAUUUUAUUUUAGGAUAUUUUCUACUGAGAGGGGCGAUAACAUACUAAACUCACACACACUACACGGAUGUUAGGACCUGAACCUAGGAUCUUUUUUGGAGGAGCAUUUGCUCCAAACUACUACACUAGUUGAGUCCUUUACCUGAUUGCUUGGAUUUUUUAGAGAGACGGACCAAAUAUAGGGCUUUGGUAAGAAGAAAAAAAGUGAAUAUGGAUGGAGUAAAACUAAGAAGUAAUUUUUAUUUAAUUUUUGGUACACAAAAUGAGUGCUAUAUGUCCUAAUGGGAUUCUGAAAAUAGUAACUUCACCCAGUGCGUGAUGGUGAAUGGGGGAAUGAAUUGAAAGACGAUUUUCAAUUGGUUGGUUUGGAUAGAGUAUGAUGUGUGGGUCAAUCAAUCUUAUCCUUCUAACCUCUUUUGUAAAGUCCAUUGUUUUGCUCCAAAGCUAGAUAAAGAAUUAGAGAUAAGAUGGAGGCAUUCGUACUAUUUUUGAUUUUAUUUCCAUUAGGAGAACAGAUUUGGAGGAUUAUCCCUUUCUAUUUUAUUUCAUUACCUUAAUGCUUGCGGUUUUUGUGAAAGUUGCUAGGGCAAUUGUUCUUAUGCUCACAAUAGAAAGGGUUAAAUUGCUGGGGCAUGCACGAUAGCUGGGAUGUGGAGACAUACUUGUCUGGUUUGGCAUGCACGAUACGAUAGUGCUUUCUCUUGGUCACAAAGUCAACAUUUAUUUUCUCAGUGUUUGGUAUAUUUUAAUUACGAUGUAAAUGUGACAAGUUUCCAUGGUUAUCUCCUAAGUUCGUGAUAGAUUAUUUUUAAUACAAGUCCAUUUUAAAGGAGCGAAAACAUUUUCAUUUUCUUAUUCAUUUUCCUUUCCAAGCAUUAAGAUAAGUCAACCCAUUAAAGGCACGUGCAUGUCCAGUUCGUGCAUGUCACGAUCAAAGAAAGAAAUGCAGCAAACGACUUCGAAUAAAUAUUUUGCUUUAAUUCUUUCAUUCAGAAUGCAUGGCCACAUAUACACUUCAAUAACAUGAAUCCAGCAUUAAUUAGCAGUUAAGCGGCCUAAUCACUAAUUAUUUAAUCAUCACAAGAACACAAACGGGUUGAAAAGCCCAAAUUAUAUGUGACCUAUGUCAAGCAAGGCCCAAGAAAACAUAAGAAGGCCAAACUAUUGACUAAGCAAUGACAAAGCAUACCAAUUUUUUUUAACAAAGCGAUAUUCUAACCACUCUUAAUGUAUGAAAAUAAAAAUCAAACUCGGUUCAAAGGGGUUGCAAGUCACACUGCCUUGACCAACUCGGGUAACAUUCGUAUGUACCCACCAAUUACUCUAUCAUUAUAUAUAUAUUUUUAAUAAUUGAAAUAAAAAAUUGAUCUAGUCGUUGGUGUUGUGGGCAUUUGUCAAGGGCUUAUUUAUGCACAGCACAAGUGAAUGACGGGCCAGUGGCCUAUGAAAGUGGUGGCCCACGGCCCUGAAGAUAUUUGUGGGAUAUGCAAAUCCUUAAUUAAAGAGAGCUUUCAAAAUAAAAUUCAAACGCCUGUCUGUCUGUCUGUCCGGAUCUGCCUGGAUCAAGAUGGUAUUUGGGGCUCGAUCAGUAUUGCAGAGAUGUCAUUUGAGGUCACAUGUAUAAGUAUUUUCCACAUUUAACUUGAUGGGGCCAAAACCAGCUGCCUCAAGUCCCCCACCCACCAUUUGUUUAUGUUCAACAUUUCCUUGGUCAUUAUAACAACCCCAGUUUUCUAGCUACCUAUAGGUCAUGACUCAUGAUUGAGUCCAAGAUAGUUGGCAUUAUGUAUAUGCAUGAGUGUGUGACCUAGCUAAUGUUUACAAAUCAUUUCAACAUAGUUUUUUAGUGUGCGUGUCAACAACAUGUGGACUCACGUCUAUCAUCAGUUACAAUAUUCAUUGAAAUUCCACCUUUUUUAAAGAAAUGACGGUCAACAGAGUUUAGUCUAAUGAAAAAUAAUAUUUAUUUGUAGAUUAGAGUUCUUAUAUUUAAACCUUCAUGCUACAUUAUAUAGUCUAGACUCAUUUGUGUUUAUUUUUUAAAAAACAUGACUGAUUGAGAAAAUUUCACUUCCACUUAAAGCGGUAUAUGUAAUAAAAAAUCUCUUUUAUUUCUCUGCUUCCAUACAGUAUAUCUGUCCAAAACUAUUUCUCCUGCUUCCAUACAGUAUAUCUGUCGAAGACUAUUUCUCUGCUUCCAUACAGUACAUCUGUCCAAUUCAUGGCAAGGGUUUUGUUGUGUACAUUUGUUCCUGCAACAAUCAUAAUAAUAAAUCUGAAACGUUCUGCCCUUAAUUUCUUUGUUUGAGAUGAGAGAGAGAAGUUAUGUCCUUAAUAAAGAGCUUAGUGUUGCACGUACAGUUAUGAUUUACUGUGGGUAAUAAAAUGUAACUGCGCUCUUUGCUGUGGUAGGCCAGUGGAGCUAAGUUGAAAUUUGUGUACAAUUCACACCCACUCUGGUACUUUUGCCAGAUGACCAGUAAUUCACAAUUUGAAAAUGCAAUAAACUCAGCAUGCACCGAACGGGCUUUGGAUGCUUUCGCUGUUAUUACGGACAUCCCCAUAGGAAAAAAAGUGUAUGCUAUUUGCAUCAGGCCAGGACUUGCUUAACCGUGCAACUGGUUAAACUAAAAGUAGUGCAAACAGUGAUACUCUGCUUUGAUCUUCCACUGUUGAUUCAGAAAUCAUACUUGUUUGGCACUGAAAAUUUUGGACAUUGACUGACUGCUGGUCUCAAGAGAAUUAAUACUGGGGUUGAAUGGAGUGUUGGAGUGGUGGUGCUGGGAGAAAUUACAAGUGCCAUAACCCAGAAGUGGUACAAUACUACAAUUUUCUUCAUCCUGGGCCCACUUCACAUCAUUUGCAAACCUAAUCUUACUGUUAGUAAACAUGGUUCAGGAACUCAUCGUAACACAACAGACAGACUGCGGUACAUGUUACAGGAUAAGCAAUAUGUAUAUACUUAACUUUCGUAGCUAGGUUAGAUGUAUUUGCUGCUGUAAGAACACCUGCGUAAUUUUGAUCAGAGUUUUGGUUGAGGAAGUAUAUCAACAUUGACCACUGGGUAACAUAAAGAUGCAUGCUUAUUUAAUGUUACGCGACCUUUUUAUUUGGACGUUACAAGUUAGAACCUAUAUCAUGGUGAUCGAGUGGAGACCGACCGAGUGGAGACAAAUUUUAUCCAAAAAAUAAAAAAAUUUGGUCAGAAAUUAAAAAUGUUAUGGGUGUCUGUCCAUUUUGGUUAGACAUUAUAUACGUGGGUCCAUAACAAAGAUAUGUGAUUCAAAGCUUAAUAGUUGAUUUUAUUGACAUAUAUUUGGGGUGUAGGUUUCGACAUGAUGAAGAUGAUAUAUAACACAUGUGUAUCGAAACGAAAGUACGUCUCUUUCAUAUACAAGCUUGCAGUGGCCGUGGCCCCCAUAAGUUCCAUAAAAAAGCCAAUAACUCUUUAACACCUGCUGCAAUAUUAGUUGAAAUAUAAAGCUAUUAAACCUUAUAAUUACAGUACUGGUCCCCCCAAAGACAAGCUACUAGCCCCGCUCGUACUCAGCCACAACAACAACUCAUGGGAGAAGAGAGAGUUAUUACAUUUCAGAGACUUUAACAUAAUAUAUAUGUAUAUAGAUAGACAUAGAUGACAGAACCUAUUGUGCAUGACAAGCCUUUUGUAUCAAAUAUCAGACAAUAGAGAUGCCAAGACCACACAGUUCAUUUUUUGUUUUUGGUUAUUCAUUAUAUCUUGCUUUGUCCUUUUGCUUUAAAUCCAUUGAUGAAGGACUGAUAUUCCUCAACAGGGCUCUUCAUAACCGCUAUCCCAUUCGCUUAUUUAUGUCUCAUUGUAAAGGGCUGGUUUGGAACCAACUAAUUCUGUCCCUUAUAAUUAGUAUGAAGGGAAAUGGUUGCGACAAGGAAUUAAUAAUAAUAAUUGUUUCAAUAUCCAUGUUUUAUUUAGGACCACCACAGAACAAGUGUAGAGAGAUGCUAGGGUUUCAUGGCUUAACCCAGAAGAACCAGUUUAAAAUGCAGCUGAAUUAUUAAGAAGACAUAAAUCUUUCUCCAUUUACUCUCCCGACCCAACGAAAUGAAUUGCGGGUUUUUUUUUUCUCUCUCUCUCUCUCUCUCUCUCUCUCUCUCUCUCUUUUCCUUUUUCCUUUUAUUUCUUUCCCUGAAUAUUAGAUUGCACAUUCAAUUCCAUACAUGAUUAGCUAAAAGGCUGACAUCAUCAUAAAUGAUGGGCCAUUAUAUUUAUAAUUUGUCUAUGAAUUACAACCGGAAUUCGUUUUCUUAUUAUUAGAUACAAUUGAUAGCUGGUUUAUAUUAUUCUAAUUAAAUUAAAUCCAAUUCCAAAGAUGAGAAAGCCAAAGCGGUUCCCAUAUAAGCAAGUUAGAAUGCUUUCUCCCCCGGAAUCACAUCCAGAUAAGGAAGCUUGUCAUGUAAUAGCAUUUGUUAGUCUAUCAAUCUAAUCCAAGCAACUUUGAAUGUGCUCUACGUGUUGAGAGAUUCGAACUCAGGUGUAAAGGGGCUAUCUCAUUACCGUGAUAUAUGUUGUUACAACUUACAAUGUUGUAAAUCAAAUUGAUAAUCAUAUUCAAAACAUGCAUGUGCAUAUGCAUGCAAGUUAUUCAAAAGGAAAGAAGAAUGCAUUAGUGAAUCCUUCUUAUAAUUAAUCAAGAAGUUCAAUUAACCAACAUAAUAUCAUAAGGGUACGUAACAAAGUACUUACCUGAAUAUUGAUGUCUCCAGCUAGACGUGGGACACGAAUUUUAACUUCUUGAACUGCAUGGGUGUUACGAGUCAUCAAUCAUCACAACGGCUCUAACCCUAGCUUACUCAAUCCAACAUCACUUUGACUUCUGUACAACAAGAAGAAGAAGAAAAAAAAACCCAUGUAUUUAUCCGCUAUAAAUAGUAAGGAAAUGUUCACAGUCUGGGUCGUAACCAAAAUUGCCGGAAUUAGCCUACUGUUGCUAUCACUCCAUAGCCUCUAGCUAGUCCUCACAACUCCUCAUUCGAAAACUGUGUCUAGCCUUCAACUUUUUGAAGCUCAAACAACUACUCCUUCACACUCAUUGCCUUUCUUUUUUUGCUUUUUCUUUUUUCCAAUAAUUAACAUAACAUUAAUUAUUAGGGUAUUUAAGUGUCGAUCGAAAUGGGAAAGUCUACUUGCUUUGCUGCAGCAUCGGGCAUAAAGAGAGGUCCAUGGACUCCUGAAGAAGACAGAAAGCUCUUAGAUUUCAUUCAACUGCAUGGCCAUGGAAGCUGGAGCUCCUUGCCCCAAAAAGCUGGUACGUACUAUUUUCUGUUGCAUUAUAUAUUGUAUGCUAACUUGGUUUGGACACACAAUAUACUGAACUUGGUCUGUUUUUAUAGGUUUGAAAAGAUGCGGGAAGAGCUGUAGGCUAAGGUGGAGAAACUACCUAAGGCCUGAUAUUAAGAGGGGAAAUUUCAGUUUGCACGAAGACCAAACCAUCAUUCAACUCCAUGCACUUCUAGGCAACAGGUUAAUACAUAUCUAAUUAUUUUAUUAAUGUUUUGUGAACUUGCAAGCUGAAUGUUUAGGUGCAUAUGCAUGCUUCAUAUGUAUAAUAAUAUCAUACGUGGUUUAGACUAAUUAGUCUAAGACGUGUGUGCUCAUGUCUUGCACCUGAGUUCGAUUCCGCUCCUCAUGUAGUACAACUUUGUGAGCUAAUGAUUCUGGACAAAAUAUAGAUGGUCGGCUAUAGCUGCGCACUUACCAAAGAGGACAGACAAUGAGAUCAAGAAUUACUGGAACACACAUCUCAAGAAACGACUGGCCAAGAUAGGGUUUGACCCUGUCACCCACAAGCCCAAGACUGCCAUUCUUGGCUCUGCCAAUGGUGACCCCAAGAAGUUGUCAAAUCUCAGCCACAUUGCUCAGUGGGAAAGUGCCAGGCUCCAAGCAGAAGCCAGGUUGUCCAAAGAGUCCGAACUACACAAAUCAUCAGCUCAUCAGCUACUUCACGAUCAAACGGCGUCACUUACUCAUGAUCAUCUUCACCAUCAGUUUGCCCCACUCGUUCCACAGUGCCUUGACAUUCUAAGGGCAUCAGCUUGGGAAAGCCUGAUAUCAAUGUCGACAAAGUCAUCAAGCUCAGAUGCUGAUGCACCAACCAGUCACAUCAACGGCGGCCAAAAUCACGUUUCUUUUGGUUAUCAUCAUGAUGUUCAUGAGCAUGGCGUUAAUAUCAUAAGUAAUUUUGAGGGUCCAACAUCGGAUCAUCAGUUCUCAAGCAUGACGGAAUGUGAUGAUUCACGGGCCAUGUCAUCAAUGACGACUGGAUCGCUGGGUUUGAAUGAGCUCAUAGGCCAAUAUUGCGGGAACGAAUGCAGUGAAUUAUUCGAGGCACUCCAGCAAUAUAUGGGGUUUGAAGUUGAGGUCGGGGAUGCUUGGACUAGUUUGGAACAAUUAUUGUGAUAUAUAAUGAUGGGCAUCAAAUCAUGACAGGCAUUUCAUGAUGAAAAUGUAAUCGAGCUAGAGAGAGAGAGGUUAACAAACGUACGUAAGUAUAUAUCUAUCUAUCUUUGGUAGUUCUGAUGAAUGAAUCUCCACCACCUGCAUAAAUUAACAGAGUAGGUGGUGGUUUAUU
This 40997-nucleotide long non-coding RNA is filed under the name Prunus persica (peach). RNAcentral's name for it is "long non-coding RNA (PPER_LNC005518)". The stretch from base 3769 to 3842 matches the Rfam family "tRNA". The record is from RNAcentral. Lineage: Eukaryota; Viridiplantae; Streptophyta; Magnoliopsida; Rosales; Rosaceae.